RNAcentral lists this long non-coding RNA (407 nucleotides) under Triticum aestivum (bread wheat). RNAcentral describes it as "long non-coding RNA (TAES_LNC020819)". The record is from RNAcentral. Lineage: Eukaryota; Viridiplantae; Streptophyta; Magnoliopsida; Poales; Poaceae.
CAAGUGCAGCACGGUGCGCGGGUGCCCGGCGCGGAAGCACGUGGAGCGUGACCCCAGCGACCCCUCCAUGCUCAUCGUGACCUACGAGGGCGAGCACCGGCACACCCCCGCGGACCAGGAGCCGCUCGCCCCGCUACCGGAGCUCUGAAAUCUCUUUGCCAUUACCGUCGUCCUCACAUGUUAAUUCAACUUAGCUUAUGACCAUGUUCCCUUCGUGACUGCUAGCUACCAUAUAUUACUACUAAUAAGUAAGCACUAGAAUUUCUUUUUCUUUUGGCCGCAUCGGUUUAGUCGCACUAAGCAUGUUGUAAAAGAACAUGUGUAGUUGGAAGCUUUGAGCUUUGAAGAAGAAAAGGUGCGUGGUAGACAAGAGAAAGAGAAAGAUGUGUUUCAGAGUUGGGUUUGAU